Molecule: ribosomal RNA, 426 nt
Filed under: uncultured bacterium
Lineage: Bacteria
Description: bacterial SSU rRNA
Rfam family: Bacterial small subunit ribosomal RNA
Source: RNAcentral
GGGGAAUUGUUCACAAUGGGCGCAAGCCUGAUGACGCAACGCCGCGUGGGGGAUGAAGGUCUUCGGAUCGUAAACCCCUGUCGAAUGGGACGAAUAAUUCGCGAGCUAAUACAUCGCGGAAAUGACGGUACCGUUAAAGGAAGCCACGGCUAACUCUGUGCCAGCAGCCGCGGUAAUACAGAGGUGGCAAGCGUUGCUCGGAAUUACUGGGCGUAAAGGGCGCGUAGGCGGCCAUCUAAGUCAGACGUGAAAUCCCCCGGCUUAACCUGGGAACUGCGUCUGAUACUGGAAGGCUUGAGUAUGGGAGAGGGAUGUAGAAUUCCAGGUGUAGCGGUGAAAUGCGUAGAUAUCUGGAGGAAUACCGGUGGCGAAGGCGGCAUCCUGGACCAUUACUGACGCUGAGGAGCGAAAGCGUGGGUAGCAAAC